UACGUACCGUACGAACGUUAUUCGGAAUUACUGGGCUUAAAGGGUUUGUAGGCGGCUUUGUAAGUCAGGUGUGAAAUCCCUCGGCUCAACCGAGGAAUGGCGCUUGAUACUGCAAGGCUUGAGGGAGACAGGGGUAAGCGGAACUGAUGGUGGAGCGGUGAAAUGCGUUGAUAUCGGAAGGAACAUCAGUGGCGAAAGCGACUUCCUGGACCAGUACCGACGUUCAGGCACGAAAGCGUGGGGAGCAAACAGG
Molecule: ribosomal RNA, 253 nt
Filed under: uncultured bacterium
Lineage: Bacteria
Description: partial 16S ribosomal RNA
Rfam family: Bacterial small subunit ribosomal RNA
Source: RNAcentral